GGUUAAAAAGCUCGUAGUUGGAUCUCGACAAGUAGAGGGCGGUAUGCUUCGUAGCAUUACUGCCCUAUUACUUGUAGUUUUGCCAGAGGUUCCUGGGUGCUCUUAAUCGAGUGUCUAGGGAUGCUGGCAGGUUUACUUUGAAAAAAUUAGAGUGCUCAAAGCAGGCUAUUACGCUUGAAUAUUCGUGCAUGGAAUAAUAGAAUAGGAAGUUGUUUCUAUUUUGUUGGUUUUCGGAAAUCGACUUAAUGAUUAAUAGGGACAGUCGGGGGCAUUUGUAUUCAAACGACAGAGGUGAAAUUCUUGGACCGUUUGAAGACAAACUGCUGCGAAAGCAUUUGCCAAGAAUGUUUUCAUUAAUCAAGAACGAAAGUUAGAGGUUCGAAGGCGAUUAGAUACCGCCCUAGUUCUAACCAUAAACGAUGCCAGCUAGCGAUCUGAGGACGUUUUUUUUGUAGACUCCUCAGGAAGCUUCCGGGAAACCAAAGCAUUUGGGUUCCAGGGGAAGUAUGGUUGCAAAGCUGAAACUUAAAGGAAUUGACGGAAGGGCACCACCAGGAGUGGAGCCUGUGGCUUAAUUUGACUCAACACGGGAAAUCUCACCAGGCCCGGACACUGGAAGGAUUGACAGAUUGAUAGCUCUUUCUUGAUUC
Molecule: ribosomal RNA, 650 nt
Filed under: uncultured marine eukaryote
Lineage: Eukaryota
Description: SSU rRNA
Rfam family: Eukaryotic small subunit ribosomal RNA
Source: RNAcentral